UAGGGAAUCUUCGGCAAUGGACGAAAGUCUGACCGAGCAACGCCGCGUGAGUGAUGAAGGUUUUCGGAUCGUAAAACUCUGUUGCCAGGGAAGAAAGGCUAGGCGAGUAACUGCGCUUGGUUUGACGGUACCUGAGAAGAAAGCCCCGGCUAACUACGUGCCAGCAGCCGCGGUAAUACGUAGGGGGCAAGCGUUGUCCGGAAUUAUUGGGCGUAAAGCGCGCGCAGGCGGUCAUUUAAGUCUGGUGUAUAAACCAAAGGCUCAACCUUUGGACGCAUUGGAAACUGGGUGACUGGAGUGUAGGAGAGGAAAGUGGAAUUCCACGUGUAGCGGUGAAAUGCGUAGAGAUGUGGAGGAACACCAGUGGCGAAGGCGACUUUCUGGCCUAUAACUGACGCUGAGGCGCGAAAGCGUGGGGAGCAAACA
Molecule: ribosomal RNA, 426 nt
Filed under: uncultured bacterium
Lineage: Bacteria
Description: bacterial SSU rRNA
Rfam family: Bacterial small subunit ribosomal RNA
Source: RNAcentral